GCAGACGCGGAUUAAACCCUCCUCUGUGCGCAAUUAACCAACGAACCGAUUAAUUAUGGCGGCGAUACCCUCCGCCGGAGUAGAAGCACUGCACCGCCUGAAACUGACGGAGCCACCGAUGUACCUAACUCCAUCGUCGGAACUUGCUACUGCCGCUCGUAUUGCUUCGGAGCACUUGUUCGCUUCACUCAAACCCUACACUCCUAAAUCACCAUUCGACCGCCUCCUUGUAGACGAGAAGUUCGACGCCGAGCAGAUUUGGCAGCAAAUUGAUCUUCAAUCUCAGCCGUUGAUAUCCGCCAUCCGCCGUCAAGUAAACAAGUUUGAGAAGGAUUCACAAGAGCUUAAAGAUAUUUUUAAGAGUGGUGAGUCUGAUAAAGAGCAGAAGAGGGAGUUGGUUUUAGAGGAGAAAGAAGAAGAAGAAGACGACGACGAAGAGGAUGAGGAUGAGGAUGAUGAACUCGAUGACGAAAGCAACGAAGAAGAGGAUGAGGAUGAGAUUGAAGAAGAUGAAAGCAGAGACGGAGAGAGAGAACGUAAAGAGAGAGGCGGAGUUGGUGUUGAAGAUAAGUUUUUAAAUAUACAGGAGAUGAAGGAGUUCAUGGAAGAUGAUGAAGCUAGAGAAUACGGAGUUAACAAAAAGAAACAAGUGGUGAAGAAAAUGUCUAGAAAGUUUGGGGAAGACGAUGAAGAAGAAGACGAUGAUGAAGACGACGACGAUGAGCUUGGAGUUCUUGAACUUGCAGGGGAAGAAGACAUGUCAGAUGCUGAAGAUGCUAGAUACGAGGACUUCUUUACGUCUACAAAGAAACGUGACCAGAGUAAGAAACCUAAAGUGAGCGAGAAAGUGGAAGAUAUAGACAUAAGCGAUGAAGAAGAAACUGAGGAUUCAGACACAGGUGAUGAAGAUGAUGAUGGCAUGGGAUCCGAUGAUGAGAUGAAGAUAGAUAAUCUUUCUACUCAUGAGAAGCAACUUCUAGAACAGCGUGCCAAAAUAGAGGAAGUGGAGAGGGAAAACUUGGAAGCAAAAUCGUGGACCAUGCAGGGAGAGGUAAACGCUACUAAAAGACCUAAGAAUAGUGCCUUAGAAGUUGAUUUGGAUUGGGAGCGCAAUGCAAAGCCACCGCCAGUAAUCACGGAGGAGGUUUCCCAGUCCAUUGAAGAGCUAAUCAUGAAGCGGAUAUCCGAGGGACACUUUGAUGAUGUUCAGAAGGCUCCUAGUUUACCUUCUAAAGCACCAAGAGAAAUGAAGGAACUGGACGAGAAUCAGAGUAAGAAGGGCCUUGGUGAAAUAUAUGCGGAUGAGUAUGCUCAGAAGACUGGCCUGGUUUCACAAGCAUUGUCUUUCUCAGAUGAGCAAAAAAAGGAGAUAUUUCACUUGAUGUUGUUAGGCAAGUCUUCUUUUCAAGAAAUUGUGCUUGAAGUUGGAUGCUCUAUCGCAUUUCCACUUCACUCCAAAACCAGUGAUUGAAGACAUGUCUAUUCAAACAAAUGUACCUGCUUUAGCAAUGGAAGAGAUUGCACCUUUGGCUGUCUCGGAUGCCGCCAUGCUGGCUCCUGAGGAAGUAUUUUCUGGCAAAGGAGAUAUCAAAGAAGAAGCAGAACUAACACAGGAAGAUAGAAAGAGGAGGAGAGCUCACAAGAAAAGGAAAUUUAAAGCUGAGAAUGCAAAGACGAUAGCAAAGAAGCCAAGGGAAAGAACGGAGACAGCCGCUGAUGGCAAGGAAGAAUCAUGACUUAAUAUCAAAAACUCGUUUGCCGUUUGAUUGAUAUUUUCGGGAGAAUAUUUCUGGUGGUUUUUGAUUCCACACUGAUGAAGGAAAGAGAGAACUCUCGGAAUCGAAAUUGUUGGCCGAACAGUCGAUGGUCGUGAAUUACGGGUCAUCCAUUUGGGAAGUUUUGUUCUAAACAUACUAUAGAGGUGAAGACAAGUAUAUUAUCUGGGUAGAAAGAGUGGCAUUUCCAUGUCAGAUUGAGUUUUUUCCAUAUUUGUUUUCCGACCUAAGAGGGACAAGAUGCCAUUUUGAAUUUCUAAAAACAAUCAUUUUCUUGUAACAGGUUAACAAAGAAAAACAUGUUCAAAAGGUAACAUGUUAUCCAAU
Molecule: RNA transcript, 2102 nt
Organism: Cynara cardunculus var. scolymus (artichoke)
Lineage: Eukaryota; Viridiplantae; Streptophyta; Magnoliopsida; Asterales; Asteraceae
Gene name: U3 small nucleolar ribonucleoprotein protein MPP10-like
Exons: 13
Source: RefSeq, a predicted model, not a curated record